UCCAUAAAUAUGGGCUGCCUUGCUGACUGACCACAAGCACUUGGGAUAAAUCUUCAGAAUGUCUGGAAGCAGCUGGUCAUAAAACAUAGAUAAAUUAUUGAGAUGUCUGAAGGUUAAACUCAUUUUCCAAUAAAAUGGAAAGGUUCAUAUAAAAAUAAAAUAAGAGAUAAUUUAAAGUCAUUUCUUUGCUUUCCAACAACUACGGAAAUUCAAUGAAAAAACUGGGGAGGUAUUUCAGGCGGAAAAAAAAAAGAAUGCUCCUGUGGUUUCUAAAAAAGGGAUUUCUUCUUUAGAACACUCCUUUUUAUUUGGAAGAAAAGAAAUUUGUCUGAUUUUAGUUAUAAAAUAUGUCCUCUGUCAUUUCUUUUUAAAGGCAUUGAAUGCCCCCACUUUUUAACCUCAUCCACAGCAACAACUAGAAAGUAUUACUGUGGUUACUGUGGUGGAAAUAAUUGUGUUUUUUUUUUCUUUUUCUCAGCAACAAACUCACUGAAUUCAUGCCUUGUUUAUUAAUGAGGGAUAACAGCUUUUUCAUGGACAUAAAUUUACUUCAUGAGUAGGAAAAGUAGACAUUUUGAUACUCAUAUAAUAAUACAGUACAUUUGUGGUAGCUAGUGAAAUGAUUUGAAUGGUAGAGCAAGAGGCAGUUUUGUUGAAAAGGAUUUUAAUUUACAGCAAGUUUAGGUCUAAAUCAUAAUUUUAUAAUAAAUAAAAUGUGGAAUCACAAAUAUUUAUGGAUGUUUCUACAUUUUUAUCUAUUUUAAACAAAUGUAGGUGUGUAAUGAAUUAUUUCUACACUGCAUUGAUUGCUAUGGAUAAAAUUUAGAAGUUAGAUGUUCAAUAUUGACAGGAAAUUUUUUUUUUCUCUUUUUAGAGCUGUACCUACAGCAUAUGGAAAGACUGGAACCAUAACUGAAGCCUACACCACAGCAACACCAGAUCUGAACUGCAUCCAACCUAUGCCACAGCUUCUGGCAAUGCCAUAACCUUAACUCACUGAGCAAGGGCAGGGAUUGAACCCACGUCCUCAUGGACACCCUGUGAUGGGUUCUUAACUCACUGAACUUCUACAGGAACACCUGAGGGGAAAUUUUAAGUGAAACUAGAUAGCUAAGAGUAAACUAUCCCUUGGGAUGUACCAAUUGUCAUUUCAACCAAAGAUUUGAGUUGAUAACUUGUUUGCAACCUUGUCAUUUCAACCAAGUUUUGAGUGGAACAACUUGUUUGCAACACAAUAUUGCUCCGACCCAACAAUAUCCAGAGUACUACGACCAGAGUUACAUAAAUAUUAAUGAUGCUGCCAUUUCAUUCAGUUGUGGUGGAAACAGUGGCUCCUAAACUGUGAGAUGAGAACAAAUGAGGAGACUGCAAUUCACCCAUGAGAAAGUAACAGGAAGACUACCUGGUGAGGGUGUGUGGAAGAGUCACAGUCCAAGUGGAAACCAGGAAGCUUGUGGGCUGGAUCGGGUUUUGCCACUACUACUAAUGCAGCCUUUGAAAAAUCACUUUACUUCUUUGGGUCUCAGUUUUCUCAUCAUUUAUACAUGUGAGUAAUUAUAUAUGAUUACUGAUCUUUUUUUGGCUUUUAUGGUGUCUAGAAAUAAUAUUAUAUACAGAACUUAAUUUCCUAGCUCUAGAUUAGGCAAUAUCAAUAACACAUCAUUAAAAUGUGUUUAGCAUAAAAUGGCAAAGACUUUAUGCCAAGGAAAGAAUACAGAAACUACUCUUCUGUAUGCUACCUUGUUUUCACUUUUAACUGCUUUUAAACACGAAUGACAAUUUACAGCUUCUUGGGUAAUCUCUCUGUCUUCUAAAUUUUCAGUUUUAGACAUGGUAAAUAUUAAAAGGAAGUUUGAAUUCACUUCUUAUUUAAAUACAUUUUAACACAUUUUACUGAAAACUUUUAAUGUUUUAAUGUUUAAUAGUUGGCCACUCUUACCUAUGGUUCACCCACCAUACAGAUCUUAAGAGAAAUCCAACUGCCGAAUUAGAGCCAUAGUGUUUUCAAAGCAUAUGAGCACCAAAAAGGGCAACCAAGGUAUUUUAGGUUGGUAAGCAAGAAAGACUCUAAUGGAAAAAAUUAUUUUUAAGUUUUAUUUUACUAGAAGGUCUUUGGUAAUCUAUUUUUUGAGUUUCAUUCCAAUUAAGAGAAGAACCAGGGGAGAUAAAAAUAUUUUCAUUUUUAACCUAAUUAUCACGAUUCUUUCCCAUAACAUCUAUAAUUGUUUUAAGGAAUAAAAAUGAGUUUCAAUAAUAUUAGAGUAUAUUAUAAGGAACCGAGUAUAUGAAGAUUUUAUAUGUACUUAAAGAUAUGCCGAUAUAUAUUUAGAGGCAGUGACCUAUUAGGAAGUACAGUUUAGGUCUCCAUACAUAGUUGUUUUUUCCAUUUAAAGAUAUUUAUCUUUUCCAGGUCAGUUUUAGGAAUAUCAUUGAACUACAUAAACUAUGUUAAUAAUGAGUAAUAUUUAAGGGCUUAAUAAAUACCAGAACUUGAAAAUAAGUCCAUAACUAGGACAGCCAGUCAAAUGCACGUGUAGAAGGGAGGGUUAUGCUUUCACACUAGUGAUCUAUUCAGUACAUUUUUGGGUUCUGAGAUAAGUAUCUCUUUGUUAAAUAUCCUCCAACCAGAAAUUUCUUCCAAAGACUUAUUUUUAAUAAACACAAAAUAAUAAUGUUUUAUACCAGUUGGUUGGUCCAAGGGUAUUUUCUGAUCUACAGUCAUUUCUCUGAGAAUUUAGAAUUGUGAUUAAUGACUUCAAUUUUCAAAAUGCUUGACUUUUAAAGAGAGAAGAUGAAAAAGACUAUACUGUCAUGUGCAUUUAGAAACAGAAGAGCCAGAGCACAGAGUCAGAGAAGAGUGAAGCAGAUGCUGAGAGAAGAUCAAAAAAGAAAGACAGCAAGAGUUGCCCCUCCUCUGGUUUCAUGUGCCCCCUCACAUUCCCAUAAGAAACUUGAUUAUCUUUUGCCUAAGCUCGUUUAAACUGGUUUUUCUGACUUACAGUCUUCUAAAUUAAAUGGAUUUUCUAGCUAAAAUUAAUAAUGGUGAUUUAGAACUUUAUUCCACUGGAAUAGAGUUAUGGAGUGGAUCCAGGCACUGGAGGAAACUAGGUAGUCCAAUCUCCUUUACCCUACAGACCAAUCAACUAAGGUAGGUCUCAAAAGAGGUCUAAGUGAUUAAUCCUAUGGAGAACACAAGAAGUAAUCAGCCUCACUCAUGGAUGAUCCCAAAGCAGAACAGUCUUUUGGCCCAGGUAUCAACCCUCAGUGGCUACCAUAGGGAUGCCUGCCUUCUUCUGGACCAAGGUUUGGAGAGACAGAGUCCAUAAUUUUAAUUUAUUUUUCAAAGAGGAAGCAAAAAGAGUUCACGUAUUCUCAAAACAUCUUUCCAAGAACUAAGAUGUGCACUACAACCUGCCAGGGCAGUUGCUAAAAGACCAUUCUAUUGUGAUCUGUCCCCAGUCCUUCUUCCUGAAAAUUUUUAGUAGUCAUGUCACAAAAAGUUAUUAUAUCAGAAGCAAUAAUUUAUUCUUCACACACUUAAAGUUAAAAAUCUAUGUUGCCUUAAUUUGUUCAAUGAGACAAUAAUUGAGUAUACUAAACACUACUAGAUAUUAUUACCAGUAGUUAGUGUCUCAUUGAUAUUUCACUUGUUUAUUUUCAAUACGCUUGCAGUUCAUAAACAUGUAUCAUUUCUUUUUUUAAUCCUCUGAAAGCAAGUUUGGAGAAAUUCUUAAAUAGCCAGAACAAAAGUAACAAUUAUAACUUCUGAAAUGUAUAGAUUAACAAAAUAGUUAAAAAAAAUCUAACUUUAAUCCAACCUAAAGCUAGAAGAAAAAAUAACAGAAAAAACCUGUCAUAAUACAUUACAAAUUAUUACCUAUAUAUGCAUAUAUACAUAUACAUGUGUAUGCAAAUGUAUAUAUAAAAUCACUAUUAUAAAUGUGAAUGGAAUAAAUUCAGUUAACAAUAAAAACUAACAUUUAGCACUUUACACAAUUAAUCACUGAAGUCUUUACAUAUAUUAAGUAUUUUUACCUCUCCAAGCAAAUCCAUUAUAUAAAUACUUUAAUUAUUCUUAUUUCACAAAAAAAGAAGCUAUAAGAUAAGUAAAUCUGUCCAAGGUCACAAAAAUGAAUCCAAGAACAUUUUAUUGAUGACCAUUCUAUUCUGUCUCCUUAUUAAAAACAGACAUUCAGGAGCUCCCUCUGUGGUGCAACAGGAUUGGUGGUGUCUUGGGAGCUCUGGGACACAGGUUUGAUCCCCAGCCAGGCAUAGUGGGUUAGGGAUCUGGCAUUGCUGCAGCUGUGGCUUGGGUCAUAAAACAAAAUGAAUACUUUAUGAUGUGUCUUAAAUGUGGUAUCUAAAGAAAAAAACCCUGAACUGUAAAAGUAGAGAGCAAACUAGUGGUUACCAGGGGUUAGGGUAUGGAGGAAUGGGGAGAGAUGCUGUUUCAGGGUACGUACACUUGCAACCAGAAAGUCGUGAAGACCUAAUAAACAGCAUAGUGAUUAUAGACAACCAAAUUGUUUUAGCGACAUUAAACUUUCUAAGAGGCUAGGUUUUCAUUUUUCCCAAGACAAGAAGAAAUGACAAUUAUGUGAAGCAAUACAGGCCAUAGCUAAUGCUACUACGGCAAUCACAUUACAGUAUAAAUUUAUCAGGUCAAUAUGUUGUCCACCUUAAAUUUAGGGUGCUGUGUGUCAAAUAUAACUCAAUGAAAACAAGCAAACAAACAAGCAGUAAGGUGCCCUUUAAAAGAUACACAUAAAACUCAGCAUUCCCAUUAUGGUUCAGUAGAUUAAGAACCCGACUAGUAUCCAAGAGGAUGUGAGUUCAAUUCCCAGCCUCACUGAGUGAGUUAAGGAUCUGGCAUUGCUUUGAGCUGCAGUGUAGGUCACAGAUGGGGCUCAGAUCUGAUGUUGCUGUGGCUGUGACAUAGGCCCACAGCUGAAGCUUUGAUUCCACCCCUAGCCUGGGAACUUUCAUAUGCCGCAGGUGCAGCCCUGAAACGAAAAAUAAAUAAGUAAAAGAUACGCAUAAAACAAAAUUACAUAGAAUAUAUCAAAAUAAGAGAAGGAAGAAAAUACACUUAGUAUAUACUAAUAAAAAUGCGUUUCAGCAGUUUUAACGGACUGUGGUACCUUUCAGCACCAAACGGAUUACAACUCAAAUUUAAUCCUCUGCGUGGCUUGUUUCUUCCAACACUGUUUCAUUCCGCAUUUCCCACUGCUCAUUCUAGUUUGGUCAGGCAGCCUUUCCAUUACCAAAACUUUCCUUUCAGCCUACCUUCCACAGACUGUUGUGGUUGCUCUGUGGAUCAUUAUUUGCCCAGUGACUGGUAUGAUUUGAUCAAGCACUCUCAAGAUUCCAAAAUCAUUGCUAUGAAAUGGCUUGUUAUUAAACACUAUUUCUUUAUCUAGCUUUAUUUUUCCUUAUAUCAGAAAUCACUACCCAAUAUUACAAAGCAAUCAGUUUAAGUUUUCAUUAUCUGUUUACCCCAGUAAAAUACAAGUUUAAGCAAGCUAACCUCCCCUUUUAAAAUUAAUAUUUGCAUAAAUAUAAAAAUAAAGGAAAAAUUUUAUAAUAGCAAAAAGGACAAUACACUAGGAUGCUAGUAAAAUUACUACCAGAAAUAUUUUAAAUAGUGCUAAUAAUCAAAAGGAGAAAUCAGCAAAUCCAAUAUCAUGGGAGAUUUUCAUGCAUCUGUUUCAGAGUUGCAAGUAAGUAAUAGAAUGGUUGUAGAAAAAAAUAAAAUACAAUGAUUUGUUAGACAGAGCCAUAUAAUUUUAGUGAGGCAAUAUGAGUUGAAUAGAAACAAUUUUUAUUUUGAUUUUAUAAAAGUGUGUGAAUACAUUGCUAUAUAGACAGAUUGAUCCUAUACCUGAAAAAUAAAGGAUACAUAAUCUCUUCAUGCUUGUGUAAUAGGUAACAAAGGAUUUUCAAACCAAAAACCCUAAAAUGGGGCAUUUUAUGCAAAUUUCACUCUGAGUAUAAUUCAAUAAAGUUAUUAGCUAAAAAUAAAAACAAUAUCCAGGAAAUUCCCAUGUGGUGCAGUGGGUUAGGAUCUGGCAUUGCCAUCUCAUCUGUAGUGUGUGCUGCAGCUAGGGCAUGGAUUUGAUCUCUGGCCUGGGAACUUCUACAUGCUGUGGGGGUGACCAAAAAAAAAAAAAAAA
This 6173-nucleotide long non-coding RNA is filed under the name Sus scrofa (pig). RNAcentral's name for it is "lncRNA (ENSSSCG00060001560.1)". Lineage: Eukaryota; Metazoa; Chordata; Mammalia; Artiodactyla; Suidae. The record is from RNAcentral.